This 301-nucleotide ribosomal RNA is filed under the name uncultured bacterium. RNAcentral's name for it is "partial 16S ribosomal RNA". It matches the Rfam family "Bacterial small subunit ribosomal RNA", at positions 509 to 808 of the family's 1533-position model. The record is from RNAcentral.
CAGUAGCCGCGGUAAUACGUAUGUCACAAGCGUCAUCCGGAUUUAUUGGGCGUAAAGCGCGUCUAGGUGGUUAUGUAAGUCUGAUGUGAAAAUGCAGGGCUCAACUCUGUAUUGCGUUGGAAACUGUGUAACUAGAGUACUGGAGAGGUAAGCGGAACUACAAGUGUAGAGGUGAAAUUCGUAGAUAUUUGUAGAAAUGCCGAUGGGGAAGCCAGCUUACUGGACAGAUACUGACGCUAAAGCGCGAAAGCGUGGGUAGCAAACAGGAUUAGAUACCCCGGUAGUCCCUGUCUCUUAUACA